This 253-nucleotide ribosomal RNA is filed under the name uncultured bacterium. Its description in RNAcentral is "partial 16S ribosomal RNA". It matches the Rfam family "Bacterial small subunit ribosomal RNA", at positions 524 to 776 of the family's 1533-position model. The record is from RNAcentral.
UACGGGGGGGGCAAGCGUUGUUCGGAAUUACUGGGCGUAAAGGGCGCGUAGGCGGCCUUCUAAGUCAGACGUGAAAUCCCUCGGCUCAACCGAGGAACUGCGUCUGAUACUGGAAGGCUUGAAUCCGGGAGAGGGAUGUGGAAUUCCAGGUGUAGCGGUGAUAUGCGUAGAUAUCGGGAGGAACACCAGUGGCGAAGGCGGCUCUCUGGGCCUUUCCUGACGCUGAGACGCGAAAGCGUGGGGAGCGAACCGG